AAGUUUGGUGGCAACUCUAUUCGAAUCAUUUUUUCCACAACCAUCACGAAGGAUCGUAUUUUUCGAGAUAUGACAGCUGGCGACUCUGUUGGGGACAUGCUCUAAGCUAGAGAAGUCAAGCCUAACUUAAUUCGACUUGCGAUGAUUGUUAGCUUUGUUUAUUUGCUUUCUUCUAUCUCUUGCCUUUAUCUUAUGUCAUGCCUUAUUUUUAUCUUGUAUCUGUUACUUGGAUCUCUUGAGCUCUUGAUUUGGAUACUCCAAUGGCUUGAAACCUUG
RNAcentral lists this long non-coding RNA (276 nucleotides) under Lathyrus oleraceus (garden pea). RNAcentral describes it as "Pisum sativum (pea) long non-coding RNA (PSAT_LNC029409)". Lineage: Eukaryota; Viridiplantae; Streptophyta; Magnoliopsida; Fabales; Fabaceae. The record is from RNAcentral.